This 236-nucleotide ribosomal RNA is filed under the name uncultured Polaromonas sp. RNAcentral describes it as "partial 16S ribosomal RNA". It matches the Rfam family "Bacterial small subunit ribosomal RNA", at positions 1147 to 1382 of the family's 1533-position model. Lineage: Bacteria; Pseudomonadati; Pseudomonadota; Betaproteobacteria; Burkholderiales; Comamonadaceae. The record is from RNAcentral.
GACUGCCGGUGAACAACCGGAGGAAGGUGGGGAUGACGUCAAGUCCUCAUGGCCCUUAUAGGUAGGGCUACACACGUCAUACAAUGGAUGGUACAAAGGGUCGCCAACCCGCGAGGGGGAGCCAAUCCCAUAAAGCCAUUCGUAGUCCGGAUCGCAGUCUGCAACUCGACUGCGUGAAGUCGGAAUCGCUAGUAAUCGUGGAUCAGAAUGUCACGGUGAAUACGUUCCCGGGUCUU